UGCAGAGUAACGAGGCACAGCAUUGGCUACCUGUUAAGGGCUGUGCUUAUCCUGCUCUAUUACACUACCACUGGCUGCGUUCCAGUCACAUGGCCCUACCUCUAAGAAGAUUUGUGUCCCAGGUAUCUAUGCCUCCUAAUCGACUCGUGGAAGCCUGGGAGCGAGCAGAUUGGUUAGAAGUAGAGGAGCCAGAUUUCCUUCCUCGCCUGCCCCCUGACUGGCUGAGUUUCUCAGGGGCCUUGCCAGCCUUUCUUUACAUGGCACAACGAUGGCUACCGGACUAAUAAGCACUUUCAGACAAGCGACUAGUAAUUUCUCUACCAUCAGCUCUCACUUAUCACAGCCAGAUCACUUGACUUUCAAAUUAUCUCCAAAAGCCUCCCUCUUGAAUAUUUAUUGACAUAUCAACAACUCUUCUUAAUUAGUACUUUAUUGGAAUGAACAAGAUCUUUGUUUACUCUAGUCCAGCAGAACCAUGAAGAGUCAAAAACAACACCAUUCCCUCUCUGCAAAAGAUGUUGAGACGAACUUUGCCAGGAAGCUUUGUUAUGCUUCAGAUGGGCUCCUCAUUCACCCAGCUGGCAUUGAGUAGCAUAUAGGGCCAUUGCGUGUGCUCCUGGACUCUAGGCACAUGAAAAAAUUCCUUUGCUGACCUUAGGAAUCCUGAAUCUCCUAAAGGAGAUAGACAUGCAAAGAGUAACAUAAGAAAUGUAUCUCAUGGAAGACUCAGUGGAGAACAGGAGGAGGAUCUGUAUCAGCCUCAAUAGAAUCAGCGAUGGGACAGAGGAGGUGGUGCAUGAGCUGGGCCUUGAGGCACGGUUUGGGUGGCUGCAAGACUGGGGGAAUGCCUUGUGUCGUGGCACUGUAGUGUGACAGAGGAAAGAUCACUCCUUUGUUUCUAAAGUAAGCUUUCUGAAUGGCAAUGUAAUGUUUUUACUGCAGAGGACGGGUUACAGAAGCCCUCUGUCUAUGGUGGUUUCACUCUUGAAUGUAACAUGUGAAUCUUUAGAAUACCAGUGGCUCUUGCUUUCAUACUUUGAUGUUAAAUAAAUCAAAAUAAUUUAA
Molecule: non-coding RNA, 1065 nt
Organism: Odocoileus virginianus texanus
Lineage: Eukaryota; Metazoa; Chordata; Mammalia; Artiodactyla; Cervidae
Source: RefSeq, a predicted model, not a curated record